UUCCUUAAGAAAUAAUUCCCCUCACUAUACCCGAGGUUAUGGAAUCUUCUUCCAAGGAUAAAAUAUCCUUAAAUCCGACUAUAGCGGUACCUCAAAUAGUCGGAUUCUUCGAACACACUCACGGUUAGAAUGAUCAGACUUAGAGUAUUUUUUUAAGACAAGAAGAAGAAGUUUUGUAAUCUGAAAAUUUCUGUAUUUUCUACCUCUAACCUGUGGAUGAAAACCAGGUUAUUUAUAGCCACAAGAUGCCUUUUUAGAAAGGAGGCAAUGGUUCACUCCAAAAGUUGCACCUUUGCUGUAAAUUCAUGUCUGUUCAUUAAAGAUUGCAUCCUUUCCUGAACAGUCAUAUCUUUUCAUGAAUCAGUGUGUCUUUUGCUGAAUGGUUGCAUCUGUUUAUUCAACCAGUGCAUCAGUUCAGUUAAGUAACAGAAAAUAGUGCACCAGUUCUAAAGCAAUGCAACAUUUCCGAAGCAGUGCAACUGUUCUGCGUCACUGUUCACGUAAAACAGUAGCAUCGCGUCACUGUUACUGCAUGUAAAUGGAGGAUUAAAACUCAGAAAUAUUUCCUGCGUUUUUCAUCAUCGAUCGAUCAUUUGCCAAAUCCAAAUCCAAAUCCAAAUCCGAAGUCGAGCGAGCAACGACGACAACGGCGCGAGGCAUCUCUAUUUCCUUGCCUCACUUACCAUGUGGAGUAAAUAUUUCACAAUAUAAACCAAUGUGGGAGAAAGAGUAAGCUUUCCAAAUUAGUCGACACUUUUCAAUUUGGUGUCUCCUUUUCCUCCACCAUUUCUUCUCCAUUUCUCAUUCACACUUCUAUAAACCCAACAGAUUCCACUUCUCGAUAGCUCUUCAAAAUUGUUGCAAUUCUCUCUUGAAAAUUUCCUUGCUAUUGCAUGUUAUCUUCAAAUUGAUCAGUAACUGUUCUAGAAUUUUGUGUUUUUUAAGUCGGUUCAUUUUUGCUUCUUUUUUGCUCCAGUUAGUAACUGUUAGGAAAACUGAAUGUAUAUCUAUGUUUGUACUUAAGUUGUUAAUACCAUUUUGCGUGCCAAUUAUGAUUAGUCCUUUUUCUGUUUUGCUUUUCAUAAUUUGUUUUCUUAAUUUGUAUAUAUCUGUAUCCAGAAUCUCUGAGACGAAGCUGCUGAUUUGGGUUUCUUUUCGAUUUCAAUAAUUUUCCAAGCGUUGGAAGUUUCUGGUGAAGUUUAAUUAAUUGAUUUACCAAAAUGGGAGUAUUCAAUUUCACUCUGAUUCCUAUUCUAGAUGACGACCGGCAUCCUCCUUCAGCUAUUCAAAAACUUGAUCCCAGAAAGAUAGGUAUAAGGUCUGCAUACACCCGCCCGCCUCAGACCCAAUUUGUGGGAGUAUACUUGAUUUGAGAAUGAGAUUGUUGUUGCUGUUGGAAAAUGAGAACCUGCUUAAGUGAUGUCUGAAUAUGGCUUUAAACAAGCAGGAUGGUAAUCUCAAUAGCAAGUCUGGGCAUAUAGCUUUGAGCAAUGAUCCGUGCUCACAAAGAGUAGAGGGAGUCUUUGUCGUUAGUGAUUCUGUUGAUUGGAGCAGGGACAUCCAGCUUUUCAAUUCAUGGUUGAAAAUGUUGUUUCGUACAUGCGGUAGAAUAUGGUUAGGACUAUUGCGAUGGAUGGUACUGAAGGAUUAGUUCAUGGUCAACGUGUGCUUAAUACUGGGCCUCCUAUUACUGUUCCUGUCGGUAGAUCCCUGCAUACUUGGCCGUAUUACGAAUGUCAUUGGAGAGACAAUUGAUGAGAGAGGCCCAAUUACAACCGAUCACUUUUUGCCAAUCCAUUAUGAAGCUCCUGCCUUUGUAGAGCAAGCCAGUGAACAACAAAUUCUUGUAACUGGUAUUAAGGUUAGGUUGUUGAUCUUCUUGGUCCAUACCAAAGAGGAGGAAAAAUUGGGCUGUGUGGUGGUGCUGGUGUCGGUAAAACUCUGCUUAUUAUGGAACUGAUUAACAAUGUCGCAAAAGCACAUGGUUGGGUUGCUUGACUCUACAGGUCCUAAUGCAGACAAAGCUAAGGAACAAUUCAAAAUUUUGAAAUAUGUGAUAGGGGCGUUCAUGCUCCGACGAACUAAAUCUCAGCUUAUCGAGUCGGGGAUUCUGGUGUUGCCACCUCUUACUGAGAUUACUGUAUUGUACUCUUUAUCAUCGCUCCUAACAUGAAUCGACCCCAAAAGAGCAGUUGGAGAUUGUUAUUUCGGCACAAUGGAUUCCAACAGGCUUUUUUACUGAAACAGCGUUGGCUGGAGCUGCUCUCAUUUUAUUCCAACUCAUGAUUGUUAGUAAUGUAUGUCUUAUUAUAUCACUUAUAUCAUAUAUCAAUUGUUCUUUGGUUUAUGGUCAAGAAUAGAUAGACGUUCCUUAUCUGUAUUGAGCAAAAAUAUGACAUCCUUGUGAGACCAAUAGAAUGAGUUAUGUUGGAAGUGGACGAACUUGUCAGGUUUAAUGAAAAUACUUACUCUAUAACUUUACGUAAGUAAAAAAUUACCAUGUAACUGUUGGUUAUUUCAAAUCAUUGGUCAUACGUCGAUUUUAAAGAAGAGAAGAAGAGAU
RNA transcript from Capsicum annuum, 2563 nucleotides. It is a transcript of the gene named ATP synthase subunit beta, mitochondrial-like, with no coding region annotated. The record is from RefSeq and is a predicted model, not a curated record. Lineage: Eukaryota; Viridiplantae; Streptophyta; Magnoliopsida; Solanales; Solanaceae. The transcript is spliced from 10 exons.